GCGGGCGUAGCUCAGUUGGUAGAGCAUCAGCCUUCCAAGCUGAGGGUCGCGAGUUCGAGUCUCGUCGCCCGCU
RNAcentral lists this transfer RNA (73 nucleotides) under Pyrinomonas methylaliphatogenes. RNAcentral's name for it is "Acidobacteriaceae bacterium K22 tRNA". It matches the Rfam family "tRNA". From Rfam's summary of the family: Transfer RNA (tRNA) molecules are approximately 80 nucleotides in length. Their secondary structure includes four short double-helical elements and three loops (D, anti-codon, and T loops). Further hydrogen bonds mediate the characteristic L-shaped molecular structure. tRNAs have two regions of fundamental functional importance: the anti-codon, which is responsible for specific mRNA codon recognition, and the 3' end, to which the tRNAs corresponding amino acid is attached (by aminoacyl-tRNA synthetases). tRNAs cope with the degeneracy of the genetic code in two manners: having more than one tRNA (with a specific anti-codon) for a particular amino acid; and 'wobble' base-pairing, i.e. permitting non-standard base-pairing at the 3rd anti-codon position. Lineage: Bacteria; Pseudomonadati; Acidobacteriota; Blastocatellia; Blastocatellales; Pyrinomonadaceae. The record is from Rfam by way of RNAcentral. RNAcentral also lists the same sequence under 5 other names.